RNAcentral lists this ribosomal RNA (330 nucleotides) under Knipowitschia panizzae. RNAcentral's name for it is "partial 12S ribosomal RNA". It matches the Rfam family "Bacterial small subunit ribosomal RNA", at positions 865 to 1362 of the family's 1533-position model. Lineage: Eukaryota; Metazoa; Chordata; Actinopteri; Gobiiformes; Gobiidae. The record is from RNAcentral.
UCGCUUGCCAGGGAACUACGAGCCCCAGCUUAAAACCCAAAGGACUUGGCGGUGCUUUAGACCCCCCUAGAGGAGCCUGUUCUAGAACCGAUAACCCCCGUUCAACCUCACCCCCUCUUGUUCUCCCCGCCUAUAUACCGCCGUCGUCAGCUUACCCUGUGAAGGACUAAUAGUGAGCGUAAUUGGCACAGCCUAAAACGUCAGGUCGAGGUGUAGCGUAUGAGGGGGGAAGAAAUGGGCUACAUUCACUGAUCCAGUGAAAACGAACGAUGCCUUGAAACACUUAUCUGAAGGAGGAUUUAGCAGUAAGAGGGCACUAGAGCGCCCCUC